AGCUUGCUAUGAGAUAGUUUAGUGGCAAACGGGUGAGUAAUGUAUAGGAAUCUGCCUGGUAGUACGGAAUAACUCUUGGAAACGAGUGCUAAUACCGUAUAUUCUCCUUCGGGAGGAAAGAUUUAUCGCUACCAGAUGAGCCUAUAUCAGAUUAGGUAGUUGGUGAGGUAACGGCUCACCAAGCCUACGAUCUGUAGCUGGUCUAAGAGGAUGAUCAGCCACACUGGGACUGAGACACGGCCCAGACUCC
Molecule: ribosomal RNA, 250 nt
Filed under: uncultured bacterium
Lineage: Bacteria
Description: partial 16S ribosomal RNA
Rfam family: Bacterial small subunit ribosomal RNA
Source: RNAcentral